CAGACCACACAUGAGAGGAACACUGAGCUGUGCAGAGAAGUGUGCCAGAGGGUGCCAGUGAACAGACGCCACACAUGAGAUCAACAUAGAACCGUGCAGAGAAGUGUGCCAGUGCCAGUAAACAGACGCCGCACAGAAAACAAACCCAGAGCUGUGCAGAGAUGUGUGCCAGUGCCAGAGGGUGCCGGUGAAGAGACUGACAUUCUGUUUAUCAUGUCUCAUUGGAAGGAGGAGGUAGCCUUGGAGCUACUACAUGUGAGGAGGAAAUAAAAGCCCAACUAACAGGCACUGUUAAGGAUGCCAUGUUUACGGCAACAUUACAAAAAUCCUGUUCAACCGGGGAUAUUGUGAAGACACAACAGCAAAUUCUUAACAAACUCAAGUCACUUAAGAAACAGUAUACCAAAGUCCAUGACCACAAUUGAAAUCACAGUGGUAUGGGAAGGAUGGAGUGGCCCUUAUAUGAUUUGUGCACUACCAUGUUUGGCCAUACAGCAAUAUACAAUCCCGUUGCCUUAUCUUCAUCUAGUAAUGCUGGCACGCUAUCUGCAAUAACGUCAGCAACAGCUUCAUCGUCUCGAGUGCAGACAGCAGAGCCCGACAUCAUCGCAGAUCCUAUUUGAUGAUGAUCCAGACGAUGAUUUAGAUGUCACCAUUAUCGAUCCAAACAAGGUCACAGGUGUGACAGCACCGUCGCAGAGCCAGGGGACAAGUCCCAACCACAGACCCAGGGAGACAAGCCUACCCUAAGUACAAAUAUUUAUAUGGUCUCAACUCAUAAGAAAAGGAAGACCAAAAUAGAGGUAGCAACAAAAGCCAUGACCAAUAUCCUGUGCGAGCAACUACGCAAGCUGGAUUCAGAUUGGCAGGGUCAAGAGGAUGCAAGAUUGCAAAAAUUUAUGGAAAAUGAAUGUGUACUGCAGAGGAAUUUGAUAAAUGCAAAUGGUAGCUAUGCAGGAUAAGAUCAGUAUCGAAAACCGUGCUUUUCUAGGUCAACUAUUUACCCAAAUGUGCGCAAUACCUCAACUUAUAAACAACACCCAUUCUGAUCAAUAAUCUCCUUCUCACACCUCAUAUGUUCCAAAAACUCGGUAUGCACAGCAAGCCCAGUCUACCAUAUAUUUUAGGGCUACAUCCCAGUAUGCGCAGCAAGCCCAGUCUACCAUAUCUUUUGGGGCUACUCCCAAGUAUACGCAGCAAGCCCAGUCUCCCACAUCUUUUGGGGCUUCAUCCCAGUAUGCGCAGGAAGCCCUGUCUCCCAUAUCUUUUGGGGCUACAUCCCAGUAUACACAGCAAACCCAGUCUCCCACCUCUUUUAGGGCUACUCCUCAGUAUGCGCAUCAAGGCCAGUCUCCCACCUCCUUUGUUUCGACAUCCAGUUAUGCGCAAAAAAGCUCACUCUCUCUAAGCGUUUUCUGAGAAUACAUUGAAGAAUGGACAGAGAGGUCCAGUACUUGUAGAUUUAUUACCUAGUACUACUCCAGAAGAAUCUACUGCCAGCAAUAGUCCAGUUUCCACAGUGCCAAAAUCUUUAAUUUAUACUGUGCACAUUAAUAUGUUUAUUGGGAGAGUAUUGUGCCCAAAAGUUUGUUUAGUUUGUGAAAUGCGUAUGUUUGUACUGAAAAAAUGUUGAUUCGCAUAUAUGCUUAUAAUUAGGAGUACAUCAUACACCUUGGCCUUAUGAAAAUCUCUUUAGUAUUUUACACUGCAAUACCGCAGCACUUUUAUUUUAUGUAGAACAGGGGCCUUCAACCUUGCCCUGUGGCUGUUAUGGAACUACACUUCGCAGCAUGGUCUGUCGAUGAUUUAGCAUGGGCUAAUAUCUAAAAUGUGGCAGGGCAUGCUGGGAACUGUAGUUCCAUAACAGCUGCAGGGCCAAGGUUGAAGACCCCUGUCAUACACCAUGCCCUUCUGAAAAAUUUGUAUUUUGCACUGCAAUACUGCAGCACUUUUAUGUUAUGGCUAAAUUGGGUGUAAUGCGUGUUAUUCCUGAUAAGGUUUUGUAUAUGUAUGCACUCAUAAUAGUGAGGAUCUCAUACACCAUGGGUGUUCAUCUUGUUUGCAAGAUAUAUGUUAAAGAGUUUCGCACGAUUUACUAUUUGAUCUAAAAACUUUUAUUAUUUGAAUAAAUGUAUCCUUUCAUAAACCACCUCCGUAAUGGGUAUGCAGCAACCAAAUUUAAAUGCACAAGUAUCUCCGCACUGUCCACAAACGUUGACAUCUACAAAUGAAAACAAUUGUUUUAAUAAAUAUAUGCAUAAUGGCUA
Molecule: long non-coding RNA, 2267 nt
Organism: Pseudophryne corroboree (corroboree frog)
Lineage: Eukaryota; Metazoa; Chordata; Amphibia; Anura; Myobatrachidae
Exons: 2
Source: RefSeq, a predicted model, not a curated record